GUUUUAAACCGACCUUAAAUUUCUAUUCACUUUGUUUCAUUUCAAUUCAACCAUCAUUCAUUUCCUUGAACAAUUUCUAAAACAAUUCAAUUUACAAAACCAAAUCCUACAUUGGCUACAAAUAACCCAUAAACCUAUUACACUUCUUUGGAUUUGAAAUCCAAAUAUCCUAACGCAAAGUUGAUAGUCCGUCACACUAAGGUAGGAACUAAGACAUUCGAUUUGCUUACAAUCCCACUGUCAACAUCGAAGCCGCUUCCAUCUAGUUUUCACCUGCAUAUUUUAACAAAAUGAAAUCAACCAGCAGCAGGCCUUGGAUUUCUAACAGGAAGUUCAAAAAGUGUAAGCCCUGCAAAUCCAAAAACAAACGGAAUUAACUUUAAUUGGUUUUAUAAUUUAAGUAACCAAACUCUAUAUUCAAAUCAAUAUUAAUUAACAUCCACACCAAAUUAAUUCAUCAUUAGCUAGUAACAUGUCUUCAAAGAGAACAGUUCAAGACCACUCAUGACAGAACAUAACUCUUCCAACCCUCUCAAUAUCAACCGCCAUGAAAUGUUCAUAACAAGUUCUCAACACCAGUUUCUAGUGUGUGUGAUACCGAGUCCUUGAAGCCAAGAUAACAGUACCAAAUCAUGUACACCACAAGCCCACAAGAAAACUCUCGGUAAAGCCAAAUCGAGCAGCAGAAGUUGAUGCAUUCCGGAAUCAUAACACGGACCUGCAAUCCAAUAUUUCAACAGUGCAACAUCCUACAUCAGAUAACCAUUUCAAUCAUCAUUUCAAUAGCAUAUUAAUUUCCCUGUAUUGACUUUCCUAACAGCUAUUCCAAUACUCUAACACAAUCAACUUAACCAAACUUUACACUAACCAAUUUCUCUCCUGACAGAAAACCAUUCACAACUGACUACUAUUAAACUACUAACCAUUUUAAACAAUGUUUUUUCUUACCAUCCAACUAACAGAACUGCACUGGUAACUAACCAAUAACUGAAAUCUUAAUUUCAUUCCAUCGUUUGGUCUUCAUUUCAUAGGGGAUCGCAACAGAAAAACAGAAGAAUGAAUCCUAUCAUAAGUUCUUCUAACAGUCUAACAUUCUAUUAACACUGAUUACUAACAGGUUUUAAAUCAUACACUAAUUAACACAAUAAUUUUCAAAUGACCUAACAGAAUAACUAACUUACCGAUUUACCGAGGGCUCCCCGAAUCGCCCGAAUCGGUUAGGCUAAGCGCUCUAUAUAAGCCCUCCUAGCCUCAUUCUGAGAGAGUUUCUCUUUUUGGCAAUUUCCGUCUUCAGCAUCUCACUCUGGAACAAGUUGUGUAAAAUCUAUGAUCUUCAACUCUUUUAUUCACUCUAUAACCCUCUGUUCUCCAUUCUGAGUUUGGCAACUUUCAUCUCCGGAUUCAUCCUGCAAUCCCCUGUUCUUCGCUGGUGGUUCUGCAGCCUUCACCCCUUCAUCCAUCCUCAACCUCCAUCGGCAACGGCCGCGUAUCACUGCAAUAACUCAGAAGAACCAAGAAUGAGAACUCGAGCAGAGGAAGACGAUUAACGGAAGCAGAAAGUGACGAGUGAAACAAAGAGAAGAGAAACAUAACCAGUUCGAAAAGCAGUGCAACGUAUCGAUUACCGGAGAACCGCCGCGCCAAAGUUAAAACACCGUGAGUUUAUCUCGACUCAAUCUGUGACACGUUUCUUCUGAUGCGCCAUACGAUUCACUGAUGUCGAACACGGUAAAGACGAAGAUUGUUUAGACUUUAUCUGGAUUUCCGCUUGCUGUUGAACAUUGAAGACGAGAAUCUUGGAGUAACGGAAUUUUAAUUAGGAUUAGUCGAAUUGAUUAGUAUUAGUUGAAUUUUUAGGAACAAUAAACCUUGAUUAAAUAAGAGUAACUAGGAUUAUUCGAGAUUAAAUAGAGUUUUUAGUUUGAUUAGGAUUUUAGAAUGUGAUUAAUGUUUGAAUAGGAAAUAAAUCUUUU
This 1973-nucleotide long non-coding RNA is filed under the name Lathyrus oleraceus (garden pea). RNAcentral describes it as "Pisum sativum (pea) long non-coding RNA (PSAT_LNC021288)". Lineage: Eukaryota; Viridiplantae; Streptophyta; Magnoliopsida; Fabales; Fabaceae. The record is from RNAcentral.